This 1720-nucleotide ribosomal RNA is filed under the name Escherichia coli. Its description in RNAcentral is "bacterial LSU rRNA". It matches the Rfam family "Bacterial large subunit ribosomal RNA", at positions 1 to 1756 of the family's 2925-position model. Lineage: Bacteria; Pseudomonadati; Pseudomonadota; Gammaproteobacteria; Enterobacterales; Enterobacteriaceae. The record is from RNAcentral.
GGGUUGUGAGGUUAAGCGACUAAGCGUACACGGUGGAUGCCCUGGCAGUCAGAGGCGAUGAAGGACGUGCUAAUCUGCGAUAAGCGUCGGUAAGGUGAUAUGAACCGUUAUAACCGGCGAUUUCCGAAUGGGGAAACCCAGUGUGAUUCGUCACACUAUCAUUAACUGAAUCCAUAGGUUAAUGAGGCGAACCGGGGGAACUGAAACAUCUAAGUACCCCGAGGAAAAGAAAUCAACCGAGAUUCCCCCAGUAGCGGCGAGCGAACGGGGAGCAGCCCAGAGCCUGAAUCAGUGUGUGUGUUAGUGGAAGCGUCUGGAAAGGCGCGCGAUACAGGGUGACAGCCCCGUACACAAAAAUGCACAUGCUGUGAGCUCGAUGAGUAGGGCGGGACACGUGGUAUCCUGUCUGAAUAUGGGGGGACCAUCCUCCAAGGCUAAAUACUCCUGACUGACCGAUAGUGAACCAGUACCGUGAGGGAAAGGCGAAAAGAACCCCGGCGAGGGGAGUGAAAAAGAACCUGAAACCGUGUACGUACAAGCAGUGGGAGCCUCUUUAUGGGGUGACUGCGUACCUUUUGUAUAAUGGGUCAGCGACUUAUAUUCUGUAGCAAGGUUAACCGAAUAGGGGAGCCGAAGGGAAACCGAGUCUUAACUGGGCGUUAAGUUGCAGGGUAUAGACCCGAAACCCGGUGAUCUAGCCAUGGGCAGGUUGAAGGUUGGGUAACACUAACUGGAGGACCGAACCGACUAAUGUUGAAAAAUUAGCGGAUGACUUGUGGCUGGGGGUGAAAGGCCAAUCAAACCGGGAGAUAGCUGGUUCUCCCCGAAAGCUAUUUAGGUAGCGCCUCGUGAAUUCAUCUCCGGGGGUAGAGCACUGUUUCGGCAAGGGGGUCAUCCCGACUUACCAACCCGAUGCAAACUGCGAAUACCGGAGAAUGUUAUCACGGGAGACACACGGCGGGUGCUAACGUCCGUCGUGAAGAGGGAAACAACCCAGACCGCCAGCUAAGGUCCCAAAGUCAUGGUUAAGUGGGAAACGAUGUGGGAAGGCCCAGACAGCCAGGAUGUUGGCUUAGAAGCAGCCAUCAUUUAAAGAAAGCGUAAUAGCUCACUGGUCGAGUCGGCCUGCGCGGAAGAUGUAACGGGGCUAAACCAUGCACCGAAGCUGCGGCAGCGACACUAUGUGUUGUUGGGUAGGGGAGCGUUCUGUAAGCCUGCGAAGGUGUACUGUGAGGUAUGCUGGAGGUAUCAGAAGUGCGAAUGCUGACAUAAGUAACGAUAAAGCGGGUGAAAAGCCCGCUCGCCGGAAGACCAAGGGUUCCUGUCCAACGUUAAUCGGGGCAGGGUGAGUCGACCCCUAAGGCGAGGCCGAAAGGCGUAGUCGAUGGGAAACAGGUUAAUAUUCCUGUACUUGGUGUUACUGCGAAGGGGGGACGGAGAAGGCUAUGUUGGCCGGGCGACGGUUGUCCCGGUUUAAGCGUGUAGGCUGGUUUUCCAGGCAAAUCCGGAAAAUCAAGGCUGAGGCGUGAUGACGAGGCACUACGGUGCUGAAGCAACAAAUGCCCUGCUUCCAGGAAAAGCCUCUAAGCAUCAGGUAACAUCAAAUCGUACCCCAAACCGACACAGGUGGUCAGGUAGAGAAUACCAAGGCGCUUGAGAGAACUCGGGUGAAGGAACUAGGCAAAAUGGUGCCGUAACUUCGGGAGAAGGCACGCUGAUA